RNAcentral lists this unclassified non-coding RNA (223 nucleotides) under Hevea brasiliensis (rubber tree). Lineage: Eukaryota; Viridiplantae; Streptophyta; Magnoliopsida; Malpighiales; Euphorbiaceae. The record is from RNAcentral.
GCAUUUUAUGAGACCAUUUUGGAAAAAGGAAUUGUAGAUAUGUUGUGGUUGGUUUAAGUUUAGUUUAUUUUUUGCCACAAAUAUUUUUGAAGUUUCAACCAGGAUGCAUGUUAAUAAGAUUGGCUAGGAAAUACGAGGAUCAUGCAAAAUGGUGAUCACUUCGAGUGGGUGUCGAUUAUUAAGACAAUCUUUCUGAAUCAUUGACACCCACUCGAAGUGAUCA